Molecule: long non-coding RNA, 897 nt
Organism: Haliotis rubra (blacklip abalone)
Lineage: Eukaryota; Metazoa; Mollusca; Gastropoda; Lepetellida; Haliotidae
Exons: 3
Source: RefSeq, a predicted model, not a curated record
CAGGAACACGAACAGUUCCAGAGGGUGACUUCAUUAAAUAAUGUAAUUGACAUGUGUCAAUGGAUCCCAGCAUGAGUGCCUGAAAUAAGACACAAGAUUGACGUAUGUCAGUGUGAUGACUCCAAAGGUAGAAGGACAUGUAUAGUACACAUGCAGUUAUCUGGCAUUGGUGUGGACUUUAACAAGGCACCUACGGCCAUGAAGGCUGAUAUCUGUCAUUGAUCGGGUUCACACCAAUAGGAACAUCAUUAUUUUGUCAUAAGAACCUCCUUUCAACAAAUCCGUCUUCUCAUUUCCUGUAAACUGCAGCGGCGAAUACACCAGUGUGUCCCUCAACAGCUACAGAAGCAAGUCGCGCAGGUCCAGAAUUAUUGUUCGGAAAGCUUCAUCGUACACUGCGUUCAUAUAAGUCCGACAACGACGAAUCGAUUAAGGCAACAGUGUAUGUUGUAACGUGACAAUCAACUGGGGAGAAAAAAGAAGAUCAAUUAUAUCCUACUCAAAUAAUUAGACGUCCCGUGGGGCGUGAGAAAGAUCAAGCUUGCGGUCCAAGAUGAUGUAAAUUGAUAACGGGGCAUGUGUCGUGUGAUGUCGGCCAAGUGUCUUCUUUUUCUUGUGCUUGGCAUCGGUCUGCAAGGAAAUAGGUCGGAAACAACUGGGUUUCUUAAUGUAGUUUUGUUUGAGAGUGAGAACGAGCACGGCACCAGCGUGCAAUGCCUGGAAUCCGCACUUUUCACAUGGACGUGUCAAGAAUGGAAGAUUGUAUCUACUAAAAUAGAUGUCAGACAUCCAUUUUCGUUGAUUUCCACGCAGGUGUCAGCUAUGAUGGAGAAAGCCUACGCAAUCCUUACCCCGUCAUCCAUGUGCAGCUUUUUGCAUUAUCAGAUGAGGCAUUUC